This 88-nucleotide transfer RNA is filed under the name Synergistales bacterium. RNAcentral describes it as "tRNA-Leu". It matches the Rfam family "tRNA". Rfam says of the family: Transfer RNA (tRNA) molecules are approximately 80 nucleotides in length. Their secondary structure includes four short double-helical elements and three loops (D, anti-codon, and T loops). The record is from RNAcentral. Lineage: Bacteria; Thermotogati; Synergistota; Synergistia; Synergistales.
GCCGGAGUGGCGGAAUUGGUAGACGCGCUAGAUUCAGGUUCUAGUGGGCAUACUGCCUGUCGGGGUUCGAGUCCCCGCUCCGGCACCA